CGAGGAUGUCAUGCAGAUCCUCGUCCUUGGCGAACUGGACCUUCUUGCGCAGGGCGUGACCGGCGGCCAUGUACACCUCCUCCCGGUGGUGCUUCUUGUAGGGCCGGAAGCGCUCCCAGAUCUUGUGCGUGCUCUCGGAUGAGUACUCGGGGCUGGAGGAGUACCCUGAGUAGUAGUGUCUGGGGGAGAGCUGCGAGUAGGUGGAGUCACGCUUGGAGCGGGUCAGCGGCUUGAGGAAGGACACGCGCUGGCUCAGGCUGUCGGCACCCUCCUCGUAGUACAGGGCGGGAAAGCUGUGCCGGUGCUCGCUGCAGUGGUAGCAAGAUUGUACUGGAAGAGGCGGAGUCUCCAUGCUUGCCACUUCAGAGAUCCACAAGCCGGCCUGUCAGAAAACCCUCGUCUGCUCCAAUGCAGUCCCUCCUCCUCAUCGGGGAAUGUCUGGGGACCGCAUUUGUAUGCAGGUGCACACACAGGUGGCUCAGAGUGCUGAUGCAGGGGUGUGCUGACGUGUACAAGUCAAGGAUGGGCGGGCAGGCGCGUGUGCACACGUCCUAUGCAUCAGCUUCGGGGGCAUGUGCUUGUGUGUGGAGGGGCAGGAAGGUAUGUGUGUCGGGGACAUCCCAGAGAAUGCAAGCACCCAUCUAUGUUAUAGUUGGCAUGUUUAAGUACAUGUGUGUUCUGUGUGUUCUACACGUGUGUGUGCCUACAUGCAACUCCAGCCCCUCUCCUCACAUCUGAGUUGCUCAAACCAGCAUCCCUACAGCCAGACCCAGGGUAUUGGGCAAAGCCAAGCUGUCUGGAGCCUUGGGAAAGCCCAGGCCCUGCCAAAGGAUGCAA
RNAcentral lists this long non-coding RNA (837 nucleotides) under Pan troglodytes (chimpanzee). RNAcentral describes it as "long non-coding RNA NONPTRT009609". The record is from RNAcentral. Lineage: Eukaryota; Metazoa; Chordata; Mammalia; Primates; Hominidae.